Molecule: long non-coding RNA, 2601 nt
Organism: Gastrolobium bilobum
Lineage: Eukaryota; Viridiplantae; Streptophyta; Magnoliopsida; Fabales; Fabaceae
Exons: 4
Source: RefSeq, a predicted model, not a curated record
CCACUUUACCUCUUCAACCGCAUCAUUCUAUUCUCUUUUAAACUAAAGCAGUUCUCUAUCUCUCUACACCAUCUGUUCACUUUUCCAUCUUUCCUCUACCAUCGUUGCCUUUGAACUAUCGAUGGAACUUAGAAUAGCCUAUUAGUGACUUUCCUAUCUGGAUGGAACACUUAUACCAGGCUAGCUUGUCCAUCUUGUAACUUUGACUCUACUUCUUUUCAUCUGUCAUUUAGUUAGAACUGGUGUUUUGUGGGUCAUCAAUAAUUUUUGUGGUAGGUUCCACCAUAAUUUUUUUCUUUACAUAUAGUGAUGCAUUAGUUAAAACAUUAGAUUGUUAAAAAUUAUCUAAGAUAUAUACUUAUAAAUGAAAUUGUCAUUUUAUACAUUUAUUCGGUUAUUGCUAUAGUUAACUCAUCAGAAGCUGCAUCCAUGAUUCGCGAUCAUGAAGGCAGGUUCAAACUUGUUAUGACAAAAGCUAAUAUGCAUGGAAAUGAUGCCCUUUAUUUUCUAAAUGUAAUUCUUGAAAAGAAUAUUCAUGUAAUCUGUAAGCUGUAGUCUAGAGCUUUUAGUGAUGUUAUAAUUUUCUCCAAGAUAUUUAGUCUCACUUAAUAAAUAUACACACACACACACACACUUGUUUCUAUGAUGUGCAGUCAUCCACUUUGGAUAACUUAAUCAUGGAAAUCAGAGAGCAUUAGCACCUGGUAAGGUGUUAGAGAGGUUCAUUCAUCCACCUUAAUAUAGCUUUGGGAAAAGCAUUUGAAUGCAAAAAAAGAAACCAAUGUACACUGAUGUUGAAUUAGUAACUAUCUUAUGAAAACCAAAGCUUAAUCCCAUAUAUAACUGAUAUAAUGUUCAACAAAAGAAAAGAAAAGGGAAGAGAGAAAAAAGUAACAGUAUUAGUCUCUCCUAACACACUUAAGGCUUCUGUAAACUUCAAAAGCUCAGUAGUCCAAAUAUUGAAAGGUCUUUCCAAAGCAAUCUAACUAUAGCUGUUAUUAUUGUGAAGGUUCAUAUGGGACCAAAAUCUUGGAUAAAAUUAUAAGUCAUUAAAAGAUCUGAACUAAAGCUGACAUAUUACAGGAAUGUUCUUUUCAAGAAUACAUUCAGAAAAAGGGCUUUACCUAGGCACAUUAGCUUUUGUGAUGACAAGUUUGAACCUGCCUUCAUUAUCAUGAAUCAUAGAUGUAGCUUCUGAUGCUUUAAUUGUAGCAGUAAUUGAAUAAAGGUAUAAAAUGACAGUUUGAUUUUUAAGUAUAUAUCUUACAUAAUUUUUAACAUGAUGUAAUGUUUUCGCUAAUGCACCACUGUAUGUAAAGAAAAAAUUAUGGUGGGGCUCUAUUCAUGAAGAUGCUGAACAUUCAUACAUAAUGAAGGUCAUCAGGAGGAAGUGAAAAAAAAAGUAGAUUAAGAUUAUUUAGACAAAACUAUGAUUGGAGCAAAAGUCGUGAAGAAAGUAUCAAGAGUCCUCUAUUGGCAAUCAAGUAAACUGAAUGGGCUUGAUAUAUUGAUUACAGAUUAGACAACAUGACUCAGAGGUAUAUAAAAAGGACGCUCAAAAUAGAACCAAGCAUUCAAUACACCACCCUGGCGAUUCAAAAAGCCCCGAGAAAGGAGUGUAGGGAUAAUUCACUGAUUCAGCCACUGGUUCAUCGACACCGCCAGAUGCCAGUUCGCCCCUAACUACCAGUACUUGGGUCAUUUGCAUUGAAGACGAUUCUCCUUGAACUCGUUCGUGGUAUUCAUUUUCCCUCUAAAAAACUUGUUAUUGUUUUCGAUUUUUUAUCAGUUAUUUUUGUUUUAGUUUUUGAUUAUUGUUUAUUUAUUUAUGAAAUAUGAGUUUUAGUUGGUUGGAAAGUUAGAAAUACAAAGUUAUAUAUGCAUACUUGUACAAAGGGUAGACAAAUAGUGUCUUUUUCUCACAUGAUGUGGCAUUGUCUUAUUGAUUUUGUAAUCAAUUUAUUAAAUUUUUAGUGCAACAGACUAUGUAGUCAAUUCUUUCGGGACUUGUUAUUGUUUUUCCUUGUUUAUAUUUCAGAAGUUUGAUAAAAUAAAAUUGUUUUCAUGUUAGUCAAUAAGUAAAUGGCGUGAGGUUAAUAUUUUCACAUUUUUUAUGAAAUUAUUGUUUUGCAAAUGGUUUUGAUUUUUACAAUGAUGGUUAUUUUGAAGCAGCUAGCUCUAAACUUAUAUGCAAGCAUAAUUGGUUUCGAAAAAUAGAGGGAAGAAUGCAAUAAUUUUUUAUUUUGUAUGAUUUGAGAAGGUUUAUGAUCUAAUUCACAAACCAGACUGGUGUAUGUAUAAGCUGAGGAAUUAUAUUUCACAAAAAAGAUGAAGCUUUUCUGAACGCAGGACUAGUUAGGAAAAGGCUUAAUGGACUGUUCUUCAUUAUUUAUAAUGUAUUGAGCUUGUUUGUUAGUAUUCUGUGAUAUCUUUUAACUCGGGUGUGGUAUGCUAAAAUUAUUGUUAUGUGCUGGACAUUUUUUUGAAAAGAAAUUUGAUGCGGCUGUUGUUCAUCUUUACUUCAACUUCUUCAUUAAUGAAUGCUUAAUUUGUUAUACUAGUAGUUUAAUGAAACAUGCCUGGUAGUUUAAUGAAAUAUAU